AAAAUAUAUAAAAUUGUUUCUUUUGUUUGAUUUGGUUUCAAUCUAAUACUGGUUCGCUUCUUGAUGAAGAACCAGAAUCGAACCGAAACAAUGCAAUAAAUUCAGUUCGGUUUGGUUCUUACUGUAAUGGUUCAGUUUGGUUUUUCGGUUCGGUUUGGAGCCCCAGGAACUGUAUACAACCCUAAUCACAGAGAGAGAGAGAGAGA
Molecule: unclassified non-coding RNA, 206 nt
Filed under: Hevea brasiliensis (rubber tree)
Lineage: Eukaryota; Viridiplantae; Streptophyta; Magnoliopsida; Malpighiales; Euphorbiaceae
Source: RNAcentral